UCUAAGCACACGCCUUAAUACGGUGAAGCCGCGAAUAGCUCAUUACAACAGCCACCGUUUACUAGAAUAUAGUUAUCCUACUUGGAUAACUGUGGCAAUUCUAGAGCUAAUACAUGCAAAAAAGCUCUGCCCGCAAGGAAUGAGCGCAUUUAUUAGAAUAAAAACCAAUCGGGUUUCGGCCCGUAAUUUGGUGAAUCUGAAUAACUUUGCCAAUCGCACAGUCCUAGUACUGGCGAUGUAUCUUUCAAGUGUCUGCCUUAUCAACUUUCGAUGGUAGGUUAUACGCCUACCAUGGUAGUAACGGGUAACGGAGAAUAAGGGUUCGACUCCGGAGAGGGAGCCUGAGAAACGGCUACCACA
Molecule: ribosomal RNA, 360 nt
Filed under: Nematoda environmental sample
Lineage: Eukaryota; Metazoa; Nematoda
Description: SSU rRNA
Rfam family: Eukaryotic small subunit ribosomal RNA
Source: RNAcentral